Long non-coding RNA from Lolium rigidum, 169 nucleotides. RefSeq lists it as uncharacterized. The record is from RefSeq and is a predicted model, not a curated record. Lineage: Eukaryota; Viridiplantae; Streptophyta; Magnoliopsida; Poales; Poaceae. The transcript has 4 exons.
AGCUGAGUAGGCUAUGCAAAAUCUUCAAAUGAACUAGGGAAAAGAGCUCGGCAUUGAUUGCGUUGAGUGCACAGUGUGAAAUCGCAGGUCUCCUGUAUAUGACAUUGGACAUGGCCCCUUCAGUCAUUUAUUUGAGUCCCUGAACAUCGAUGUUUCUAGUACAAUGAUU